Long non-coding RNA from Gymnodraco acuticeps, 739 nucleotides. RefSeq lists it as uncharacterized. Lineage: Eukaryota; Metazoa; Chordata; Actinopteri; Perciformes; Bathydraconidae. The record is from RefSeq and is a predicted model, not a curated record. The transcript is spliced from 3 exons.
CUAACUGCAGUCCAGGUUCCGGAGGCAACAGACGGACCGGUUUCUGCCUGGGCACAAAGGCAGCUUCUCACAGAUGGGAGAAUGAAAACGGCUAGGCCAAUGCUUUUUAAUGCAAAACUCUCAGCUGAGAGAAUAGCCAUUCAGAAGUGCCACAGAUGCUGUGCAGAAGAAGCGGCUAUGAGGUGCCUGGACUGUGUUCCACAUGGAGUUCCUCUGUGCAACCUGUGACAUGGAGGCCCACAAGAGGAAUAUCUUCCAUGACAGAGAGGCUGUGUUCAAUGGAUUUCUGGAGCCCAUCCCCCGACAACUGCUGUGGUGGUGGAUGAAAAUGGCCAGCCUCAGUUUUGUGAACAAAUAUGUCAACUGCCUGUUCCUACUCCAAGGUCAAUCUGUGAAUGCUCUGAUGACGUCACAGUGACUCCUUGGAAGCAUAUUUCUGUGGUCACCAUCAACGGACGAUACAAUGUCUGCUUGCAUCGGAAAUCCUGUCCAUCCUGCUCUGCAGAAUGGACUCCUGAGGUUAAAGACCUGCUUUUGUAUCGGUACUGGCCAGCUAGCACCAGCUGCCAGACGCUUUACAAAUAUGAUGUGUUCACCUCAUUGGAGCACAUGAAGGUGACAGCACCAGCCGUGUCCAGGCAGGCAUUUCUGAAAAUGUUGGAGCACAGAUCUGUUCAAGCUGGACGGGUAAAUCUGAAUCACACGGAAACAUACAAAAAACAAUAUCAUAUUACUGUAU